UACAGAGGUCUCAAGCGUUGUUCGGAUUCAUUGGGCGUAAAGGGUGCGUAGGCGGCCGUGCAAGUCUGGCGUGAAAGCCCCGGGCUCAGCCCGGGAAGUGCGCUCGAAACUGCGCGGCUCGAGUGCCGGAGGGGAGAGUGGAAUUCCUGGUGUAGCGGUGAAAUGCGUAGAUAUCCGGAAGAACACCGGUGGCGAAGGCGGUGAGCUGGGCAGUUGCUGACACUGAGGCGCGACAGCGUGGGGAGCAAACAGG
This 253-nucleotide ribosomal RNA is filed under the name uncultured bacterium. RNAcentral describes it as "partial 16S ribosomal RNA". It matches the Rfam family "Bacterial small subunit ribosomal RNA", at positions 524 to 776 of the family's 1533-position model. The record is from RNAcentral.